UGAACUUGGCGGCGGUGGCUCUGAACUUGGCGGCGGUGGCUCUGAACUUGGGCGGCGGUGGCUGAAUAGAGAGAUGACGGAGGGAGGCGGCGGUGGUGGUGGGGACGAAUCGGGGCUGGAUAACAGAGAGAGCACGGAGGGAGGCGGCGGCGGUCGCGGUCGCCGAGGAAGGAGGCAGCGCCACGUAGGGCGGCGCCAAUGCCUAGAUCUGAGAGAAGUCGGGAUGUAGGGCUAGGGCUCCGGUUGGCGGCAGCAAGGGCGGCGGUCGAGCGUGACUCACGGUGCGAGAAAGAGGGUAGAUGCUUCGCCGGAAAAUUGAAUGGGAGAAGGGACGGCGGUGGGCUCGCCUGCCACUGCUUCGUCGGAAAACUGAAUGGGAAAUUGAACGGGAGAAGGGGCGGCGGUGGGCUCGCCUGCCGCUGC
Molecule: long non-coding RNA, 423 nt
Filed under: Salvia miltiorrhiza (redroot sage)
Lineage: Eukaryota; Viridiplantae; Streptophyta; Magnoliopsida; Lamiales; Lamiaceae
Description: long non-coding RNA (SMIL_LNC011750)
Source: RNAcentral